GGCAAUUUCCCAAUCCGUCAGUUUCCCGCCAAUCUACAAUCCCUAAAAUGUCGAAUUUCUCACAAAACAAAAAUUUUCAAAUUGCUAAUUACUUCCCAUUCCAAUCAUCAAAUGGCCGAGGAAGAGAACACAGAAGGGGCGAUCCGGCCCCAAUUUCCAACUGGAAGGGUCAAGAGAAUCGUGAAACUGGACAAAGACAUCAACAAAAUCAACUCAGACGCUUUAUUACUGGUUUCCCGAUCCACCGAGCUAUUUCUAAAAUUCCUCGCAGAGAAGUCGGCAGAAGUUGCAAUCGAAAAGAAGCGAAAGAUCGUGAAACUUGAUCACAUCCGAGUUGCCGUUAAGAGGCAUCAGCCAACCGGUGAUUUUCUUCUUGACUCGCUUCCCGUGACAACUCAGUUAUCCGAUAAACCACCAGCUGAGAAGACUCGUCCUGCUCCUGUGACCGAUAAACCUCUCCCUCCUGGCACUCGCCGGAUUGACUAUUUCUUCGCUAAGUCGGCAAAUGAAGCUCCGGUUCAGAUAAAUGAAAGCUAGAUGCUUUUAUUUCUAUAUUCACAUUAUUUUGCUUAGUUGAAAGUUGAAACAGAAUAUAUUUUUAGCUUUAUAAUAUAAAGAAUCUUUUUUUUUUAUCUUGUUUUGUUUGAAUUAAUUUGGUGAUUGGAUUCAUAGAUUAUUGCUCAAUGAAGUGAAAUAAUGAUUGAAAUCUUUUCG
Molecule: unclassified non-coding RNA, 714 nt
Filed under: Hevea brasiliensis (rubber tree)
Lineage: Eukaryota; Viridiplantae; Streptophyta; Magnoliopsida; Malpighiales; Euphorbiaceae
Source: RNAcentral